GGUGCAGUAGCUCAAUCGGACAGAGCGGCUGAGUCCUAGUCAGUUGGUUGAGGGUUCGAGUCCUUCCUGCACUG
This 74-nucleotide transfer RNA is filed under the name Phycisphaeraceae bacterium. RNAcentral's name for it is "tRNA-Arg". It matches the Rfam family "tRNA". Rfam says of the family: Transfer RNA (tRNA) molecules are approximately 80 nucleotides in length. Their secondary structure includes four short double-helical elements and three loops (D, anti-codon, and T loops). Lineage: Bacteria; Pseudomonadati; Planctomycetota; Phycisphaerae; Phycisphaerales; Phycisphaeraceae. RNAcentral also lists the same sequence under 1 other name. The record is from RNAcentral.